GAUGAACGCUGGCGGCGUGCCUAAUACAUGCAAGUCGAGCGAACAGAUGAGGAGCUUGCUCCUCUGACGUUAGCGGCGGACGGGUGAGUAACACGUGGAUAACCUACCUAUAAGACUGGGAUAACUUCGGGAAACCGGAGCUACUACCGGAUAAUAUAUUGAACCGCUUGGUUCAAUAGUGAAAGACGCUUUUGCUGUCACUUAUAGCUGGAUCCGCGCCGGAUUAGCUAGUUGGUAAGGUAACGGCUUACCAAGGCGACGAUGCGUAGCCGACCUGAGAGGAUGAUCAGCCACACUGGAACUGAGACACGGUCCAGACUCCUACGGGAGGCAGCAGUGGGGAAUAUUGCACAAUGGGCGAAAGCCUGAUGCAGCAAUACCGCGUGAGUGAAGAAGGUCUUCGGGUCGUAAAGCUCUGUUGUUGGGAAAGAAAAGAAGUAGGUGAAUACCCCGCUGUUCUGACGGUACCUAAAGAAAAAGCAACGGCUAACUUCGUG
RNAcentral lists this ribosomal RNA (497 nucleotides) under uncultured bacterium. Its description in RNAcentral is "partial 16S ribosomal RNA". It matches the Rfam family "Bacterial small subunit ribosomal RNA", at positions 28 to 507 of the family's 1533-position model. The record is from RNAcentral.